GAUGAACGCUAGCGGCAGGCCUAAUACAUGCAAGUCGAACGAUACCAGAGAGCUUGCUUUCUGGGAAAGUGGCGCACGGGUGCGUAACGCGUAUGCAACCUACCUUAAUCAGGGGGAUAGCCUCUCGAAAGAGAGAUUAACACCGCAUAAAAUCACACUUCGGCAUCGAAGAAUGAUCAAAUAUUUAUAGGAUUAAGAUGGGCAUGCGUGACAUUAGCUAGUUGGUAAGGUAACGGCUUACCAAGGCUACGAUGUCUAGGGGAUCUGAGAGGAUGACCCCCACACUGGUACUGAGACACGGACCAGACUCCUACGGGAGGCAGCAGUGGGGAAUAUUGGACAAUGGGGGCAACCCUGAUCCAGCAAUGCCGCGUGAGUGAUGAAGGCCUUAGGGUUGUAAAGCUCUUUUACCAGGGACGAUGAUGACGGUACCUGGAGAAUAAGCCCCGGCUAACUUCGUGCCAGCAGCCGCGGUAAU
Molecule: ribosomal RNA, 478 nt
Filed under: uncultured bacterium
Lineage: Bacteria
Description: bacterial SSU rRNA
Rfam family: Bacterial small subunit ribosomal RNA
Source: RNAcentral